AUUAAACGCUGGCGGCAUGCCUUACACAUGCAAGUCGAACGGCAGCACGGGGGCAACCCUGGUGGCGAGUGGCGGACGGGUGAGGAAUACAUCGGGAUCUACCCUGUUGUGGGGGAUAACGUAGGGAAACUUACGCUAAUACCGCAUAAGAACUGAGGUUGAAAGCGGCGGACCGCAAGGCGUCGCGCGAUUGGAUGAACCGAUGUCCGAUUAGCUAGUUGGCGGGGUAAAGGCCCACCAAGGCGACGAUCGGUAGCUGGUCUGAGAGGACGACCAGCCACACUGGAACUGAGACACGGUCCAGACUCCUACGGGAGGCAGCAGUGGGGAAUAUUGGACAAUGGGCGCAAGCCUGAUCCAGCCAUGCCGCGUGAGUGAAGAAGG
Molecule: ribosomal RNA, 384 nt
Filed under: uncultured bacterium
Lineage: Bacteria
Description: bacterial SSU rRNA
Rfam family: Bacterial small subunit ribosomal RNA
Source: RNAcentral